UCUUCCCUGUGCAGACAUCCACUUCUUCUCUCCCUGAUCCAAAUCACGAAAUAGUGUUGACGGUUCCCCUGCGCUCCUCCCCUCUGCUUCUAGCGGCGCACAGCAGCCCCGGUCGGUGUUCUGGCGAUCCCAAAGCCCCAUGCCCAGGUACGAAGCCCCCCUUUCCCCAGCGAUCCUUCUCCUUCCCCAUGGAGACUAGCCCCUGCUAGGAAGCCGGCGCAGGAUCCAUGUAGGGCAGCCCUUCUCUUUCCGCGUGUGGCCCUGCCUCUGGCCCUGCAGCCGCGACAUGCUAGCACAAGACCCAGGGAAAGCGUGCCGAUCAGAACCGCCCAUACACCAUCGUUCGCGUCGUGCCGCGCUAUGCCUGUUGUCGUUCCGUCCGCCGUUGUCGAAGUCGCGUCGUGCCGUGCUGCUCCUGCUAUCGCGCCGUCCGCCGUUGUCGAAGUCGCAUCGUGUCGCGCUGCUCCUGCUGUCGCACCGUCUGCCGCCGUCGAAGUCGCGUCGUCACGUCGAGGUGAGUGUCACUCCUCUCCCUCCCGUGCGAGAUCGUGUGGAGCAGGCAGCCAUUGGAGCGGCUCCUAUGGUGCAGCCCCAUGUGGCUAGCCCGAGCUCGCCCCCUACACGGCCGCUACCCGCGGUAGUACGGUGGUCAGCCGCUCAGCCACCUCCACUCCCCUGCUCACGCCAAGUGCGUCCCCUACCCCUGGUCGCCCCUAACCCCAUGCUAGUGGAGGUGCUGCUCGCCGGCCGAGCAGCCGUGGCCCCCAAAGCUCCCCUGCGCGCGAAUCUCCAACUCAUCUCCCAGCGCGCAGCCAUGGCGGGUGUGGCCGAGGUCCCCUGCGCAUGGCCAGCGCCCAGCUUGCCCCUCCCCCUGCGUGUCCCGGUGCAGCCGAUGGCCAGCGACCGGCGCAGUGACCUGCCCUGUCCUCGGCUCCCUUCCAACCUGGCCAGCUUCCCCUGGUGGCCUAGCCAAGCCCCUGCCCCUCACGGCGGCUUCCUGAGCCCUAGGAAGAAGGAGAGAAAUCUGCCGUUGUGAGUGCGCCUGGAAAAAAGGGAAACAACCCACGGUCCCACCUGCAUGUCGUUCUUUCCGUGAACGUGAUACUCUUGCCAUGCGUUUGGAGAAAGCAUUUGGCCCCAUGUGCAUGCACGAUCCCCUACAUGCAGCUAAUAGAAAUUUAACCUCACACCAUCCCUUUGACCUUCUGUGCCCAAGAUCCUGUGGUCACCCUUGUGGCCAAGCGCAGACCAAUCAGAUUAUGACACAUCUCCUUUAAACCGUGAUAUACUAAACACACGAUAUCUCUUACGUUAUAUGUCCGAUACACUCUAUUCAAGUUGCGUUAGAUUUAUAUUAAUGUUGUCUAUGCGUUAAAAAUACUGUUCCAUCAUUUCAUAUGUUUCGAAUAAUCUAUUAAAUAUUUGUUUUAAAAUUAGUUUUCCAAUUGAAACUAAUUUAUAGUUCUUUUACCCGAGCUUUUAUAAAUAAAUACUAAGUUGAUUAAUACCAACCAAAAUAUUUAGAAUUAAUACUUGGCUAGUAUAAACGUGAUAUCUGUUAGUGAUUCUCGCUUGUCGCGCGUCGUUCGUGCGUGCUGUUCGCACGCGUCGUCACACUGUCUGCACGCUGUCCGCGCGUGAUGUGCUCGUGGUCACUUGCUAAUUCGCGUUGGUCGUGCGCACCGUUUUCGUGCAUCGUUCGCGUGCUAUGUCGCGCGUGUCCGCGCGUCGUUUGCAUGCCGUCGUGUUGUUUCGCGCGUCAUAAAUUCGUCUCGCCUAGAAUCUUUCGUUUUAAUUAAAUUGCUUAUUUGAAUGACAGUAGUUAGUGUAGCAGAUUAAUCAAAACUAAAUGGUAGAUAUAAUUUAUAUUUGAUAACACCGAAUUAAAUAUCUUGACUAUUACUUGUUUAGAGUAAACGCGCUAACCCCCGACCGUAGCUCCGACUUUCGCGUUUCUUAUCCUCGCAUAACCGUAGAAGCGCUCUCUAUUUUAUAUUGCUCGUUUUUAUGCCAUGUUAUCUUGUAUGGUGUAAUGUUCUUAUGCAUGUAUAUGUUUGUUUGUCUGUAUCUGUUCGUAUUCGCUGUGCGUCGCCAAUAGAUCAUGAUUUUUUUCCGAGCUUUGAGGAAUCGACAAUCAAGCUUUGACGACCAAGUGACCAAACUCUUCGA
Molecule: long non-coding RNA, 2169 nt
Filed under: Zea mays
Lineage: Eukaryota; Viridiplantae; Streptophyta; Magnoliopsida; Poales; Poaceae
Description: long non-coding RNA (ZMAY_LNC003000)
Source: RNAcentral